GAAAAGAACAGAAAAAAAAAACCCUAGGUCUCUCUCUUCUUCCUCCCGUCGGUUUCUGCCGCACACACAGAAAUAAAAGAAAAGGAUCUGCAUUGGAGGAGGAUAAGUGGUGAUUGUUUACACAAAUAUAAUAGGAGUUUCAAGUGGCUUCGAGGAGGCGUCGUGACUAGUAUUUUGAUAGCUUUCGGACUUGAUAGACUCGGGAUUAGGUGGAAUUGAGGAUUGUCAAAUUCUUAGAACGAAGCAAAGAAUAAUUCGAGAUUGUUAUUGUCUUCUAGGCGAAGGUUAAAUAAAGUCUUUAAUGUUUAGAUGAUGAAUUGAGAGUUUGUAAUAAUGAGAUUCUUUCUUUAGGUUGAGAUUUAUUUGGAGUUGA
Molecule: long non-coding RNA, 373 nt
Organism: Asparagus officinalis (garden asparagus)
Lineage: Eukaryota; Viridiplantae; Streptophyta; Magnoliopsida; Asparagales; Asparagaceae
Exons: 3
Source: RefSeq, a predicted model, not a curated record